AACGCACAUUGCGCCCUAUGGUAUUCCGUAGGGCAUGCCUGUUCGAGCGUCAUUACACCCCUCAAGCUCUGCUUGGUAUUGGGCUCCGCCUUCGGGCCGGCCUCAAAGACAGUGGCGGCGCCUCCGGGUCCUGAGCGUAGUACAUCUUCCGCUACAGGUCCCCUGAGGAUGCUGGCCAGAACCCCAUAACUUCUAGUUUGACCUCGGAUCAGGUAGGGAUACCCGCUGAACUUAA
This 235-nucleotide unclassified non-coding RNA is filed under the name uncultured fungus. RNAcentral describes it as "sequence contains ITS2". The stretch from base 1 to 52 matches the Rfam family "5.8S ribosomal RNA", at positions 103 to 154 of the family's 154-position model. The record is from RNAcentral. Lineage: Eukaryota; Fungi.